AACGAACGCUGGCGGCAUGCCUAACACAUGCAAGUCGAACGAGACCUUCGGGUCUAGUGGCGCACGGGUGCGUAACGCGUGGGAACCUGCCCUUAGGUUCGGAAUAACUCCCCGAAAGGGGUGCUAAUACCGGAUAAUGUCUUCGGACCAAAGAUUUAUCGCCUUUGGAUUGGCCCGCGUUGGAUUAGCUAGUUGGUAGGGUAAAAGCCUACCAAGGCGACGAUCCAUAGCUGGUCUGAGAGGAUGAUCAGCCACACUGGGACUGAGACACGGCCCAGACUCCUACGGGAGGCAGCAGUGGGGAAUAUUGGACAAUGGGCGAAAGCCUGAUCCAGCAAUGCCGCGUGAGUGAUGAAGGCCUUAGGGUUGUAAAGCUCUUUUACCCGGGAUGAUAAUGACAGUACCGGGAGAAUAAGCGCCGGCUAACUCCGUG
RNAcentral lists this ribosomal RNA (433 nucleotides) under uncultured bacterium. RNAcentral describes it as "partial 16S ribosomal RNA". It matches the Rfam family "Bacterial small subunit ribosomal RNA", at positions 29 to 507 of the family's 1533-position model. The record is from RNAcentral.